AGCGGGGUAGGGUAGCCAGGGCUAACCCGCCGGGCUCAUAACCCGGAGAACGCUGGUUCAAAUCCAGCCCCCGCUA
This 76-nucleotide transfer RNA is filed under the name Nitrososphaeria archaeon. RNAcentral describes it as "tRNA-Met". It matches the Rfam family "tRNA". From Rfam's summary of the family: Transfer RNA (tRNA) molecules are approximately 80 nucleotides in length. Lineage: Archaea; Thermoproteati; Nitrososphaerota; Nitrososphaeria. The record is from RNAcentral.